CCAGACUCCUACGGGAGGCAGCGGUGAGGAAUAUUGGUCAUUGGGCUUACGCCUGAACCAGCCAAGUCGCGUGAGGGAAGACUGCCCUAUGGGUUGUAAACCUCUUUUGUCAGGGAGCAACGCCGGCUACGUGUAGCCGGACUGAGAGUACCUGAAGAAAAAGCAUCGGCUAACUCCGUGCCAGCAGCCGCGGUAAUACGGAGGAUGCGAGCGUUAUCCGGAUUUAUUGGGUUUAAAGGGUGCGUAGGCGGAGUGUCAAGUCAGCGGUAAAAUUUCGGGGCUCAACCCCGUCGUGCCGUUGAAACUGACGCCCUUGAGUGAGUGAGAAGUAAGCGGAAUGCGUGGUGUAGCGGUGAAAUGCAUAGAUAUCACGCAGAACUCCGAUUGCGAAGGCAGCAUACCGGCGCUCAACUGACGCUCAUGCACGAAAGUGUGGGUAUCGAACAGGAUUAGAUACCCCUGUAC
This 465-nucleotide ribosomal RNA is filed under the name uncultured bacterium. Its description in RNAcentral is "bacterial SSU rRNA". It matches the Rfam family "Bacterial small subunit ribosomal RNA", at positions 331 to 793 of the family's 1533-position model. The record is from RNAcentral.